UACGUAGGGUGCAAGCGUUUGUCCGGAAUUAUUGGGCGUAAAGAGCUCGUAGGCGGUUUGUCGCGUCUGCUGUGAAAACCCGAGGCUCAACCCUCGGGCCUGCAGUGGGUACGGGGCAGACUAGAGUGCGGUAGGGGAGAUUGGAAUUCCUGGUGUAGCGGUGGAAUGCGCAGAUAUCAGGAGGAACACCGGUGGCGAAGGCGGUUCUCUGGGCAUUACCUGACGCUGAGGAGCGAAAGUGUGGGGAGCGAACAGGG
Molecule: ribosomal RNA, 257 nt
Filed under: uncultured bacterium
Lineage: Bacteria
Description: partial 16S ribosomal RNA
Rfam family: Bacterial small subunit ribosomal RNA
Source: RNAcentral